Molecule: long non-coding RNA, 260 nt
Filed under: Populus trichocarpa (black cottonwood)
Lineage: Eukaryota; Viridiplantae; Streptophyta; Magnoliopsida; Malpighiales; Salicaceae
Description: long non-coding RNA (PTRI_LNC003289)
Source: RNAcentral
GGCUGGUAGGAUAAGCAAAGCUUGUUGAUCCGGUUUUCUUUCUGAAGUUGUAAAUCUAUACCGAAUUGUAAUUGUGCAGGGAAAGUAAAGAAUACAAAGAAGUAGUAUAGAUUUUGGAGAAAUUGAAAGACAUGUUUUCAUCAGCGACUCCGUUGCUUUUCUUCUGGGCAGAAACGGUCCAUCCAAUAUUUGCUUCACUCGAGGGAGUUUAUAGAGUCGGUGUCCAUGUCUCUUCUUUGUAAGAGUAAAAUCUAUGCAUG